Molecule: ribosomal RNA, 471 nt
Filed under: uncultured bacterium
Lineage: Bacteria
Description: bacterial SSU rRNA
Rfam family: Bacterial small subunit ribosomal RNA
Source: RNAcentral
UGGCGGCGUGCCUAACACAUGCAAGUCGAACGAGAAAGUGGAGCAAUCCAUGAGUACAGUGGCGUACGAGUGAGUAACACGUGACUAACCUACCCUCGAGUGGGGAAUAACUUCGGGAAACCGAGGCUAAUACCGCAUAAUGUCUACGGACCAAAUGCGCAAGCAGCUUGAGGGGGGGGUCGCGGCUGAUUAGCUUGUUGGCGGGGUAACGGCCCACCAAGGCAAUGAUCAGUAGCCGGCCUGAGAGGGCGCACGGCCACACUGGAACUGAAACACGGUCCAGACUCCUACGGGAGGCAGCAGUGGGGAAUUUUGCGCAAUGGGGGAAACCCUGACGCAGCAACGCCGCGUGGAGGAUGACGCCCCUUGGGGUGUAAACUCCUUUCGAUCGGGACGAUUAUGACGGUACCGGACGGAGAAGCACCGGCUAACUCUGUGCCAGCAGCCGCGGUAAUACAGAGGGUGCAAGCG